AAAACUAAUAUUUUUUUUACAAAAUGGUAUAUGUGACAAACUCCCCUCUUUUGAGGUUGCCACGAGUGCUUGGAGAGGACUACUUGCCAGCCUCUUACCAUGUGAUUACGGCCCCAUGUUGUAUGCACCAGUUUUAUGCAAUAGCGGCAUAGUUAUAUAAGUUCAUGUAUUUUUCUGUCUUUGGAAUUGUAUUGUAUGUUAUGUGAGGGUACCCAGAUAGCUAAUUUUAGUGUAUUUGUGUAGUCUGAGUGCCAUUC
Bufo bufo (common toad) is the source of this 257-nucleotide long non-coding RNA. RefSeq lists it as uncharacterized. Lineage: Eukaryota; Metazoa; Chordata; Amphibia; Anura; Bufonidae. The transcript is spliced from 4 exons. The record is from RefSeq and is a predicted model, not a curated record.